GAUGAAGAACGCAGCGAAAUGCGAUAAGUAAUGUGAAUUGCAGAAUUCAGUGAAUCAUCGAAUCUUUGAACGCACAUUGCGCCCGCCAGUAUUCUGGCGGGCAUGCCUGUUCGAGCGUCAUUUCAACCAUCAAGCCCCCGGCUUGUGUUGGGGACCUGCGGCUGCCGCAGGCCCUGAAAAGCAGUGGCGGGCUCGCUGUCACACCGAGCGUAGUAGCAUACAUCUCGCUCUGGGCGUGCUGCGGGUUCCGGCCGUUAAACCACCUUCAUAACCCAAGGUUGACCUCGGAUCAGGUAGGAAGACCCGCUGAACUUAAGCAUAUCAAUAAGCGGAGGU
This 336-nucleotide unclassified non-coding RNA is filed under the name soil metagenome. RNAcentral describes it as "partial contains 5.8S ribosomal RNA, internal transcribed spacer 2, and large subunit ribosomal RNA". The stretch from base 1 to 120 matches the Rfam family "5.8S ribosomal RNA", at positions 35 to 154 of the family's 154-position model. The record is from RNAcentral.